This 253-nucleotide ribosomal RNA is filed under the name uncultured bacterium. Its description in RNAcentral is "partial 16S ribosomal RNA". It matches the Rfam family "Bacterial small subunit ribosomal RNA", at positions 524 to 776 of the family's 1533-position model. The record is from RNAcentral.
UACGAGGGGUGCAAGCGUUGCUCGGAAUUAUUGGGCGUAAAGGGUAGGUAGGUGGUCUCAUUUGUCUGGGGUGAAAGCCUUGAGCUUAACUCAAGAAGUGCCCCGGAAACGGUGAGACUGGAGUCUCGGAGAGGGUCGUGGAAUUCCCGGUGUAGCGGUGAAAUGCGUAGAGAUCGGGAGGAACACCAGAGGCGAAGGCGGCGACCUGGACGAGUACUGACACUCAACUACGAAAGCGUGGGGAGCAAACAGG